This 823-nucleotide ribosomal RNA is filed under the name uncultured Actinomycetes bacterium. RNAcentral describes it as "bacterial SSU rRNA". It matches the Rfam family "Bacterial small subunit ribosomal RNA", at positions 1 to 821 of the family's 1533-position model. The record is from RNAcentral. Lineage: Bacteria; Bacillati; Actinomycetota; Actinomycetes.
CCGCGGGAUUAGAGUUUGAUCCUGGCUCAGGACGAACGCUGGCGGCGUGCUUAACACAUGCAAGUGGAGCGACGAACCAGGGCUUGCCCUGGGGCAGAGCCGCGAACGGGUGAGUAACACGUGGGUUACCUGCCUCGAUGACCGGGACAACCCGAGGAAACUCGGGCUAAUACCGGAUGUGCCCGCAAGGGGAAAGGAAGCUUCGGCCUCCGCAUUGAGAUGGGCCCGCGGCCCAUUAGCUUGUUGGUGAGGUAACGGCUCACCAAGGCUUCGAUGGGUAGCUGGUCUGAGAGGACGAUCAGCCACACUGGGACUGAGACACGGCCCAGACUCCUACGGAAGGCAGCAGUGGGGAAUCUUGCGCAAUGCGCGAAAGCGUGACGCAGCAACGCCGCGUGGGGGAAGAAGGCUUUCGGGUUGUAAACCCCUUUCAGUUGGGACGAAGCUUCUCCGGUGAAUAGCCGGAUGGAGUGACGGUACCUUCACAAGAAGCACCGGCUAACUACGUGCCAGCAGCCGCGGUAAUACGUAGGGUGCAAGCGUUGUCCGGAAUUAUUGGGCGUAAAGAGCGUGUAGGCGGCCCCAUUAGUCCGCUGUGAAAGUCCAGGGCUCAACCCUGGAAUGCCGGUGGAUACUGUGGGGCUAGAGUCCGGAAGGGGCGAGUGGAAUUCCUGGUGUAGCGGUGAAAUGCGCAGAUAUCAGGAGGAACACCAAUGGCGAAGGCAGCUCGCUGGGACGUGACUGACGCUGAGACGCGAAAGCGUGGGGAGCAAACAGGAUUAGAUACCCUGGUAGUCCACGCUGUAAACGAUGACAACUAGAU